RNAcentral lists this ribosomal RNA (504 nucleotides) under uncultured bacterium. RNAcentral describes it as "partial 16S ribosomal RNA". It matches the Rfam family "Bacterial small subunit ribosomal RNA", at positions 30 to 523 of the family's 1533-position model. The record is from RNAcentral.
AUUGAACGCUGGCGGAAUGCUUUACACAUGCAAGUCGGACGGUAGCACAGAGAGCUUGCUCUCGGGUGACGAGUGGCGGACGGGUGAGUAAUGUCUGGGGAUCUGCCCGAUAGAGGGGGAUAACCACUGGAAACGGUGGCUAAUACCGCAUAACGUCGCAAGACCAAAGAGGGGGACCUUCGGGCCUCUCACUAUCGGAUGAACCCAGAUGGGAUUAGCUAGUAGGCGGGGUAAUGGCCCACCUAGGCGACGAUCCCUAGCUGGUCUGAGAGGAUGACCAGUCACACUGGAACUGAGACACGGUCCAGACUCCUACGGGAGGCAGCAGUGGGGAAUAUUGCACAAUGGGCGCAAGCCUGAUGCAGCCAUGCCGCGUGUAUGAAGAAGGCCUUCGGGUUGUAAAGUACUUUCAGCGGGGAGGAAGGCGGUGCGGUUAAUAACCGCGCCGAUUGACGUUACCCGCAGAAGAAGCACCGGCUAACUCCGUGCCAGCAGCCGCCGUAA